RNAcentral lists this ribosomal RNA (816 nucleotides) under uncultured Glomeraceae. Its description in RNAcentral is "eukaryotic LSU rRNA". It matches the Rfam family "Eukaryotic large subunit ribosomal RNA", at positions 1 to 662 of the family's 3401-position model. Lineage: Eukaryota; Fungi; Glomeromycota; Glomeromycetes; Glomerales; Glomeraceae. The record is from RNAcentral.
AUGACCUCAACUCAGGCAAGAUUACCCGCUGAACUUAAGCAUAUCAAUAAGCGGAGGAAAAGAAACUAACAAGGAUUCCCUUAGUAACGGCGAGUGAAGUGGGAAAAGCUCAAAUUUUAAAUCUACCUGGUUUCCAGGUCGAAUUGUAAUUUGAAGAAGCGUUUUCGUUUUUUUUCGAUCUGGUUGAAGUUCUUUGGAACAAGACAUCAUGGAGGGUGAGAAUCCCGUGCAUGAUCAGAUCGUGAUAUUUCAGAUACGCUCUCUAAGAGUCGAGUUGUUUGGGAAUGCAGCUCAAAAUGGGUGGUAGACUUCACCUAAGGCUAAAUAUCAGCGAGAGACCGAUAGCGAACAAGUACCGUGAGGGAAAGAUGAAAAGAACUUUGAAAAGAGAGUAAAAUAGUACGUGAAAUUGUUGAAAGGGAAACGAUUGAAGUCAGUCGUACCGACGAGAAAUCAACUUUUCGAGUGCUUACUUGUGGGCGUGCGUGAGCUGCCAAAGGCCUAGCUGUUUGCAUGUUUGUGCUUUUUUGGUGUACUUUUUCGUAUGGUAGGCCAACGUCAGUUUCGAUCACCACAAAAUGAUCGGAGGAAUGUAGCUUCGAUCUCGUAUUGAAGUGUUAUAGCCUUUGGUAGAUGUGGUGAUUGAAACUGAGGAUUGCAACGAAUACCCUUUGGGCUAUCCGUCUGACCUCUGGAAGUUGCUUAGGUGCCGAAAGCUUGCUUAUGGUAUUUAAGACGACGGUCAAAAGGUUAGAACGUGAUUACAUUCGUUAAGGACGUUGGCGUAAUGGCUUUAAACGACCCGUCUUGAAACAC